RNAcentral lists this ribosomal RNA (253 nucleotides) under uncultured bacterium. Its description in RNAcentral is "partial 16S ribosomal RNA". It matches the Rfam family "Bacterial small subunit ribosomal RNA", at positions 524 to 776 of the family's 1533-position model. The record is from RNAcentral.
UACGUAGGUGGCAAGCGUUGUCCGGAUUUACUGGGCGUAAAGGGCGUGCAGGCGGUUUGUUAAGUCUAGGGUGAAAGCUCCCGGCUCAACUGGGAGAGGUCCUUGGAUACUGGCGAACUUGAGGGAUGCAGAGGAAAGUGGAAUUCCCGGUGUAGUGGUGAUAUGCGUAGAGAUCGGGAAGAACAUCGGUGGCGAAGGCGGCCUGCUGGGCUCUUGCUGACACUGAGGCGCGACAGCGUGGGGAGCAAACAGG